This 242-nucleotide unclassified non-coding RNA is filed under the name Hevea brasiliensis (rubber tree). The record is from RNAcentral. Lineage: Eukaryota; Viridiplantae; Streptophyta; Magnoliopsida; Malpighiales; Euphorbiaceae.
GAAAUCUGUUCAACAAAGCUUGUGUCAAUAAGCAGACAUCUUACGUGACACUGACCAAACAAGUUGACAAUGCAGCAAAAUCAAACAUAACAAGAGUGUAUUUGUAGCUUCUCCACUUUCAUACAACUAAUAUAGCCAAAAAUCUAAAUGGAAAGAGUAUGAAAGUUUAUAAAAACUACUACAAGCUAAAAAUAUGAAAUAAGAGAACUACAGAAACUUCAAACAGGCCUUUCCAACAAAAU